This 301-nucleotide ribosomal RNA is filed under the name uncultured bacterium. RNAcentral's name for it is "partial 16S ribosomal RNA". It matches the Rfam family "Bacterial small subunit ribosomal RNA", at positions 509 to 807 of the family's 1533-position model. The record is from RNAcentral.
CAGUCGCCGUGGGAAUACAGAGGGUGCGAGCGUUAAUCGGAUUUACUGGGCGUAAAGCGUGCGUAGGCGGCUUUUUAAGUCGGAUGUGAAAUCCCUGAGCUUAACUUAGGAAUUGCAUUCGAUACUGGGAAGCUAGAGUAUGGGAGAGGAUGGUAGAAUUCCAGGUGUAGCGGUGAAAUGCGUAGAGAUCUGGAGGAAUACCGAUGGCGAAGGCAGCCAUCUGGCCUAAUACUGACGCUGAGGUACGAAAGCAUGGGGAGCAAACAGGAUUAGAUACCCCAGUAGUCCCUGUCUCUUAUAC